This is a long non-coding RNA of Nymphalis io (European peacock), 1128 nucleotides long. RefSeq lists it as uncharacterized. Lineage: Eukaryota; Metazoa; Arthropoda; Insecta; Lepidoptera; Nymphalidae. The record is from RefSeq and is a predicted model, not a curated record. The transcript is spliced from 3 exons.
UAUACUAACGGAGGGUUACCUACGUCAUCUACUUUGUAAAACGUAUUUGAGAGGUUCGGGUUACCAAACCUCUUUGUAUCAAAACCGUGCCACGUGCAACAUAAGUCAUAUAUUGUCUUAUUUCUACAUAUUUAAACACUUCUGAGAGGUAUUGUUGCUGAUUUGGAGCUGUUGCAGGCUCUGCUGUUUUAUGAAGGAGGGGUGCUUGUCCAGUGGCCUGCUGUUGCUGCUGCAGGCCAUGCUACUAUAUUUGCUGCUUCGCACUGCUUUUAUAAAUUUUAUAAUCUUUAUGAUGAGUUUUAUUAAUGUGACGGUCUUGGUGGAACGAACCCCGUACACACGAGAACCCCGUGACAACAUACGUAACAUCACUGAAAGCGGUGUCCCGGUCCACACCACAGUGGUGUCACAUCGUCGUCGUUUCCCAUCCGAUUUUACACAGGUAUUCUCCAAAACAACCAUGACCUGCGUAAGUGGGAAGGGAAGGUGACUCAUCGCUUUCGUAUCAUCCUCUUCGAAGGCUGGUAGGACCGCUCCAACGCGUUUGCGUGCGUACCGUUCUUCGCAGAGACGGUCACGUCACGUCGCAAGAGCCCUCCAGUGUUCCUGCCGCUUCUUUGUCUUGUGCGCACUCAGUGGGGGUCAGUAUCAGUCCAGAGUAAGGAAGUUUCCGCUGUUAUACGCCCGAGCCUAUUAAAACAUGUAAAUCCCUUGGUCUUGUGCCUUCUCUGCGGUCGUGUCACAUUGUUGCCCCAUCGAAUUAUGAGAGUGAUGUAAUACAGAUGUGCACUAUAAUAUUAUAUAAGUCGAGAUGGCCCAGUGGUAAGAACGCGUGAAUCUUUACCGAUGAACGUGGGUUCAAACCCGGGCAAGCACCUCUGAAUUUACAUGUGCUUAAUUUCUGUUUAUAAUUGAUCUCGUGCUUUUCGGUGAAGGAAAACAUCGUGAGGAAACAUGCAUGUGUCUAAUUUCAUCGAAAUUCUGCCACAUGUGUAUUCUACCAACCCGCACUGGAGCAGCGUGGUGGAAUAAGCUCCAAACAUUUACAGGCUGUUACUGUUACUGUACUAUAAUAUUUCCAGAAUUAAUUUACGUAAAUAUCAAUAAGACAAUAUGAGACAAUUUUAU